Molecule: long non-coding RNA, 612 nt
Organism: Austrofundulus limnaeus
Lineage: Eukaryota; Metazoa; Chordata; Actinopteri; Cyprinodontiformes; Rivulidae
Exons: 3
Source: RefSeq, a predicted model, not a curated record
GCUGGACGUCCUGCAGGAAGUGAAUCAACAGAAGCUGGUACUGAUGCAGCUGAGCUGGACCUGUUUCCUCAUCUUUCCUGAGACAUUUGGGAGCAGAAGAUUCAUACUGUUGCCAUGGAAACAAAACAGCAGAAACGUCUCUGAGGAGGUUCUGAUUAGAUUUGAUGAUUUCAGCCGUCAUCACCGUCCAUGGAUAAAUUAACCGGAGGCCAGAGCACAAAAGGGCAAUUCCACGUGUCGUCUGCUGUCGUUACGCUGAUUUAUGAGGCCAGACUCAGCCGGCCCAUCUGAACAGGUACCAGAAGAGUCCAGCAGGACCAGCAUGCAUCAGUGUGGAGCUGCAAACACACACACCAUGAUGGUGUCAGGUGAACAACAUGACGAGGGGCUGGAAGCAGAGAGAACAUCAGGAACAGACGGGGGGACGCCUUCAUUCAGGAGGUCUCUGGUUUUCAGCAGCGUCAAGGGUCCAUCUGUGCCCUUACAUAAAGUGGUCCCCACAGUGGGWUUGUGAAGUGAGACAGAAAAGCCCUGAUCUGCAUCAUAUCCAGUCUGCUGAAGCAGAAAAAAGGCGGGAAACUGAAAGCUUUACGGCAGGAGAAAGUGUCUUCC